RNAcentral lists this ribosomal RNA (325 nucleotides) under uncultured bacterium. Its description in RNAcentral is "bacterial SSU rRNA". It matches the Rfam family "Bacterial small subunit ribosomal RNA", at positions 28 to 334 of the family's 1533-position model. The record is from RNAcentral.
GAUGAACGCUGGCGGCGUGCUUAACACAUGCAAGUCGAACGGAGUGCCUUUGAAAGAGGAUUCGUCCAAUUGAUAAGGUUACUUAGUGGCGGACGGGUGAGUAACGCGUGAGGAACCUGCCUUGGAGUGGGGAAUAACACAGUGAAAAUUGUGCUAAUACCGCAUAAUGCAGUUGGGCCGCAUGGCUCUGACUGCCAAAGAUUUAUCGCUCUAAGAUGGCCUCGCGUCUGAUUAGCUAGUUGGUGGGGUAACGGCUCACCAAGGCGACGAUCAGUAGCCGGACUGAGAGGUUGGCCGGCCACAUUGGGACUGAGACACGGCCCAG